Molecule: ribosomal RNA, 256 nt
Filed under: uncultured bacterium
Lineage: Bacteria
Description: partial 16S ribosomal RNA
Rfam family: Bacterial small subunit ribosomal RNA
Source: RNAcentral
UACGUAGGGUGCAAGCGUUUGUCCGGAAUUAUUGGGCGUAAAGAGCUCGUAGGCGGUUUGUCGCGUCUGCUGUGAAAACGCGAGGCUCAACCUCGCGCCUGCAGUGGGUACGGGCAGACUAGAGUGCGGUAGGGGAGAUUGGAAUUCCUGGUGUAGCGGUGGAAUGCGCAGAUAUCAGGAGGAACACCGAUGGCGAAGGCAGAUCUCUGGGCCGGUAACUGACGCUAGGAGACGAAAGCGUGGGGAGGCGAACAGG